GGGACUUGCAAGCAGAGCAGGGGGUAUGGGGAGAGCAUAAAUGGAGAUGAGACUCUGUUCACACUCUUUCCUGAUAUCCCUGUGUUUUCAAAGAGAAAACUGUGUCAAAACCAGGGAAGGGGAGGGGGGAGGUGAAAAAGGACAUUUUCCAAGAACUCCAGGCCUACAGUCCUUAGUGCAACAGUACCUGUUGUUUACAAAGAUUCAUCUGCCUCUGUCCUGCAUUUCCCUCCGUGGACACCAGGGCACUGUCUGAUCAUCUGGUCUUCUCAGUCCCCGGCAAAGUUCACGGACCCUGACACACCCUGCAGCUGUCUCCUGAAGGAGUCAGAGUGGACCACUGAAUCCCAGCUGCUCUUCUUUCAAACGAUGUGACCUUGGGAAAGUUACAUAACCUGUCUGUGGCUUUGUUUUCUUCCUUAUAAAUUGGGGUAAUAACACCUACGUGUAAAAGUUA
Pan troglodytes (chimpanzee) is the source of this 457-nucleotide long non-coding RNA. RefSeq lists it as uncharacterized. Lineage: Eukaryota; Metazoa; Chordata; Mammalia; Primates; Hominidae. The record is from RefSeq and is a predicted model, not a curated record. The transcript is spliced from 2 exons.